Molecule: long non-coding RNA, 426 nt
Organism: Bufo bufo (common toad)
Lineage: Eukaryota; Metazoa; Chordata; Amphibia; Anura; Bufonidae
Exons: 5
Source: RefSeq, a predicted model, not a curated record
CAUGUGAGUUCCUUUUUGUAUCAGGUCGGGAACGAUGAGGUGCUGUGGAGGCUGCGGGCUGUGAUGGGGGCGCGGGCCUCUCCGUGUUGUAUUAAUAUGGAGCUCGGGUGAAGCCUGUUUGUUAAUAGACUUGCUAUGUAGAGGACGAGGCGUGCGGGGGCGCUGCAGAGCGCGCAGGACCAUUUUGACUACGCCAGGGCAGCCAAUGGACCUUGGAUCUCCUGUGGAGGUGUAAAGCAGCGCCUUUAAUGUACAAUGUGACUAGUGAAUGGGUCAGAAGAUGAACAUAUACUUGUCGAAGUCUAUAUUUCAGGUGACUGGCGUGGAGGAUCUUGUGAAUGUCUCCAUAUCAGGUUCGUCUUUGAAGUGAGUAAAGCUUGGCUACUGUAAAUCUGAAUGUCUUUAAAUAAAAUAUUUGAAUUGAAA